AUCGCGUCGCCACCCCCCUCCCGCGGGGGCGGCGGAGACUGGCCUCCCGUGCCCCCGGGCGCGGCCGGCCUAAACGCGAGUCCUCGGCGGGGGACGUCACGACCAGUGGUGGUUGAGUCCCUCAACUCGAGUCCUUGUCGUGCCGUUAGACCACCCGCCGCAUUCGGGGCUCCGACGACCCUGAAGAGAGUUGAUCUCAUCUCGAUG
This 207-nucleotide ribosomal RNA is filed under the name Coffea arabica (coffee). Lineage: Eukaryota; Viridiplantae; Streptophyta; Magnoliopsida; Gentianales; Rubiaceae. The record is from RNAcentral.